CCAGAUCAGUUAAUUGUAACUGCUCGUGUACUGAUGAUGAGGUAUGCAGACACGAGCCUGGGUUCCAUGGGUGCUACUGCAAGGACAAUCGGACUAUAAAUAGUUUCUUAGACUUAUUACCAACCGUAGAGUGUGGAGUGAAAAGCAUGAAAACAACUUUCCGCAAAUGUGAACUGAGAGCCCUGGAAGUUGAUGUUGUCAGGAAUCUAAAACUUAUCAACGAUAAAUGCUUCACUGUCCUAAAUGAUUAUAUUACCAACACCUAUUCAGUUCUUUCCACUCUGCAAGCAGGAACCUGUGGGAUGACUUUGACU
Molecule: long non-coding RNA, 314 nt
Organism: Xenopus tropicalis (tropical clawed frog)
Lineage: Eukaryota; Metazoa; Chordata; Amphibia; Anura; Pipidae
Exons: 2
Source: RefSeq, a predicted model, not a curated record